GAUGCAGGAAGCAUCAAAAUUGGGAUGAUACAGAAAAGAUUCACAUGGCCCCUGUGCAAGGAAGACAUGCAAAUUUGUGAAGCGCUCCACAUAUUG
This 96-nucleotide small nuclear RNA is filed under the name Echinops telfairi (small Madagascar hedgehog). Lineage: Eukaryota; Metazoa; Chordata; Mammalia; Afrosoricida; Tenrecidae. The record is from RNAcentral.